UCCGGUUUGGCACCGGCAGUCUCCCUAGAGUUCCCGGCAUCACCCGCUGGCAACUAAGGACAGGGGUUGCGCUCGUUGCGCCACUUAAGGCAACACCUCACGGCACGAGCUGACGACAGCCAUGCACCACCUGUGCAGGCUCCGAAGAGCACCCGCUUUCACGGGUUUCACCCUGCAUGUCAAGCCCAGGUAAGGUUCUUCGCGUUGCAUCGAAUUAAGCCGCAUGCUCCGCCGCUUGUGCGGGCCCCCGUCAAUUCCUUUGAGUUUCAAACUUGCGUUCGUACUCCCCAGGUGGGAUGACGUUUCUAGAGGGUG
RNAcentral lists this unclassified non-coding RNA (315 nucleotides) under uncultured Actinomycetes bacterium. RNAcentral describes it as "uncultured actinobacterium contains 16S-23S intergenic spacer region". The record is from RNAcentral. Lineage: Bacteria; Bacillati; Actinomycetota; Actinomycetes.